This 221-nucleotide ribosomal RNA is filed under the name uncultured Streptococcaceae bacterium. RNAcentral describes it as "partial 16S ribosomal RNA". It matches the Rfam family "Bacterial small subunit ribosomal RNA", at positions 118 to 334 of the family's 1533-position model. Lineage: Bacteria; Bacillati; Bacillota; Bacilli; Lactobacillales; Streptococcaceae. The record is from RNAcentral.
UAGGUAACCUACCUCAUAGCGGGGGAUAACUAUUGGAAACGAUAGCUAAUACCGCAUAAGAGAGACUAACGCAUGUUAGUAAUUUAAAAGGGGCAAUUGCUCCACUAUGAGAUGGACCUGCGUUGUAUUAGCUAGUUGGUGAGGUAAAGGCUCACCAAGGCGACGAUACAUAGCCGACCUGAGAGGGUGAUCGGCCACACUGGGACUGAGACACGGCCCAG